CGGUCCUUUCUGAGUGGUUGUAUCAACAAGGCUGUUCAAUCUUUGCACCCAGAGGUUGCAGUAAGUCUGGAUGCCACAUCAAACUGUUUGUGGUACUUCUAAACUUCGUGGAAGAGCCCUGUUUCAUAAAUCUGAGACAGCCUUGGUCUGAGGGAGCAAAGACAGAGAAUUCACAUGCUGCCCAGGCAUAGCCACAUAGCAGGUGGACAUCCCUGGAUACUUUUCUGACCCUCACUGGAUUUUCCUGGAAGUACGGAGAGCUACAUCCAGAGAACUCUGAACAUUUUGGAAGGACCCCAAUCCUGCAAACAAUGAAUGGCAAUAAAUCCUGGGACUGGAAAGGUCUUCCAAGAAACAAAAGGAAAUUUACCUAUUUCUUAAACAGAACAAAACCCAUUAUAUCUUAUCAUUACCAUGUGACAGCAUUGGACAAUUUUAAACAUGUAAGGCACUUUAUGGAAACUUCUUGAUCUUUUUUUUCUUAUAUUAAGCAUUUUCUAUUUCAUCAACAUAGGGACUGUUUCAUCAUUACUCAUCAAUCGUUCCUAACAAUGCUUAAAACUAAAACAAUAAGGAAGCAGAACAAUGAUGAAAUUGCCUAGAAAGAUGAUGCAACUGCAAAAUAUAUCAUUAUUGCCCCAUCAUCACUAUGAUUGUUUAUAGUGUCGACUGAAGUAUUACAUCAUCAUUCAAGAAGAUAUAAAAGAAGCCUGGAGACAUUUUUUUUUUGAGACACCAUUUUUACAGCCUACUUUGUUUCACUAAACACAGUUUAUAAUUCAGAAUUAUUUUUUCCAUCCAUAACUUCAAAUAGAAGAAAAGUGACAGAGGAAGAUAUUUCAAAAUUAUUAAAUGAAUCAGAAGAUGAAUGCAAAAAGACAGAGAGCAGUAAGCUAGACUCUAAUGAUUAGGGUAAAAUUGAAAUUGAUUAUACAAGUGAAAUCUCAGACUAUGAGUCUUCAUAAGACAAUGGAUUUUCUUAAACUAUAGAACCAAUGAGUGAACAAUGCAUUUCAAAGAGAAAAAAGGAAAUAUACUACAGUAGUUCCCUCUUAUCCACAAAAAAAAAUGUAUUCCAAGAUAUCCAGUAGACACCUGAAACAAUGAAUAAUGCUGAAUUCUAUGUAUGCUGUGUUUUCUUGAUCUGAAAACCGAGAUAGCUAAUAAGUGUCUCACAGACAGGUAGCUUAGAGAGCGUGGAUAUAUCGGACAAAGGGAUGAUUCACAUACUUGGUGGAAUAGAGCGUGAUAACAUGACAUGCUACUCAGAAUGGUGUCCAAUUUAAAACUUGUGAGUUGUUUAUUUCAGGAAUUUUCCAUUUGAUAUUUCCAGACUGUGGUUGACUGUGGGUUACUGAAACUGCAAAUAGCAAAAUCAUGGAUAAGAGGACACGACUGUAUUCUCAUCUAGUUAGCCCUUUAACAGGAAGGAAUUUAUCCUGUUAUAUUUUGUGACAAGAACCUGAACCAUUUCAUUUUGCUAAAAGAGCAUGUCACAGUACUCUUUCUUUAUAAAAUUCAUGUGCCAAAAUCUGUGGUUUCUAAGUGCACAAAUGCUAAAGAAAGAGAAAGGCAGGCAUCCAAAAGAAAUGGACAAUGUGAAUUUAAAAAUAAUUGAAUGCAUUAUUGUAAUCUGUUUGUAAAUACAAAAAUGAAAACCUGGCCAGGCACAGUGGCUCACGCCUGUAAUCCCAGCACUUUGAGAGGCUGAGGUGGGCGGAUCACGAGGUCAAGAGAUCAAGGCCAUCCUGGCCAACAUGGUGAAAUCCCGUCUCUACUAAAAAUAGAAAAAAAAUUAGAUGGGCACGGUGGCCUGCACCUGCAGUCCCAGCUACUCGCAAGGCUGAGGCAGAAUUGCUUGAACCCGGGAGGCAGAGGUUGCAGUGAGCCGAGAUGGCAGCACUGCACUCCAGCCUGGUGACAGAGUGAGACUACAUCUCAAAAUAAAUAAAUAAAUAAAUAAAUAAAUAAAGAACGAAAGAAGGAAGGAAGGAAGGAAAUGUUUUAUUAUGAAAUGAAGAUGACAUUUUCUUUUCAACAAAAUUAUGGACCAUCAAGGAUUACAAAAAUGAAAGUACUACAUUUUGAUGAUGCACGUUCUAGAAAAACCAGAAGUAAUAAUAUAUAAUAGAACCUAUUAAAGAUAUAUUCAAAAUUUGAAAUUGGUAUCUGCAAGAUGAAUACACCGAAGGCUCAUAGAUGAUAGCUGAUGAGCUGUUUGUUUCUUUCUGAAGAUAUUUCCCAUUUGAAGUAUAUACAUCUUUGAAAACAGGGAAUAUAAGAUAGAAACAUUUUGUUUUACUAUAUUUAAAUUCUUAUCAAAACUUUCACUUUCCCUUUAUUCCUACUCCUGUAAACUAUUAGAAAAACUAAAUAAUUUCUUUUAAUAAUUAAAACUCCAAGAGAUUGAUAGAGAAAAUUACUCAUUCCUGGUAUACUGAGAUAAAAAUGUAUAUUUUCUAUGUCUUCAUUGUAUACUUAUCAAGUUAUCCUUUUUCAUACAAUUAUUUAUGUCUUAGCUUACCUCUUUUCUGGACCACCAGCUUGCUGAGAGGAUUCAACAACUACUUACUGAAUAAACAUUAAAAUUCCCGAAACUUUUGUUGUGUGAAAAUAAUUAAAUGAUUGGAAUUAGAGUGAAUAUGUUUUUAUGGAACUAUGCCUACCUUGGAGCAGGAUUUUUUUCAGAAGUCUAAAGCAAAGCUAAAUGGUACCUAGUCUUGUCUAAUACAAGCAGUGAGCUCUGAAAUACAUUAAACCAUUAAAUAACAGUGACUAUAAUGCAAUUACAUUUGACCUCUUCUCAGCGAGAUUUAACCAAAAAUAUAGUUAAGCACCACCAAAGUUCAAGAAAAGGAUCUUAAUAAAAUGAGAGUACUAACUUAUUCCUUGAGGCUCUUUCUAGCUAUGGACUUAAAACCCAUUGAAUUGGAAUACAGGCUGCCAAAGAAUGCCUUAUUACAAUCAGAGAAGAUUUUGAUAGGUGAGUACCCUCAAUUUAAAGAAAACAAAUGACACAAAAAGCAGAAUAAAUUACCGUGACAUAAUUCUUGGCUCAAGUAAAAGUCAGACAGUAGCUGAAAUUUUAAUAGUGGAAUAUCUUCUAAGGGAUAAACUUUAACUUGUAUUAAACUUUAAUCAUAAUAGUUACAGAGAUGAAAGCUAAAAAAAAUUAUUAAAAUUACUAAGCACAAGCACACUAGCCCUGGUCCUUGUACUGGACGUUUAAAUUGGUUUCUUUAUCUAUAGUGAAUAUAAAGAGGUCUGUGAACCAUGUGAUUUCUUCCUUACAGAAAUUUGUCUCUUUAACUUGGGUGACUCUGCCCAGAAACCCAUGCAAUUUAUUAAGCCCAGAUAGAAGUUGGUGAAGAAGGAAUAUGAAAAUGCCAAGCAAGAUCCUGAUGUGUUUUCUUAAAAAUAGUCUACCUAAAUGAAUAAAAUUAUCAGUAUAGCUGUCACUUAAGAAAAAUGUGCUAAGCCACACAAAAUUGAAAAGGAAAUUGGAAUUACUGGAAGGUUGAUAAAGAUAAAUAAAUCUGGCGGAAUAUACCUUGACCAUCUGUACUAUCAAUUUCCAAAAAAAGAAAAAGAAAAAAACCCAUAAAUUGUGUUUUGAUGUUGCAAAUAAUGUCUGUCUUGACCAGUUUUAAUAGUUCUCUUAUGACUAAGUGACAAGUAGACUACUUUAAGCCCUAGGAAAAAAAGUGGAGGUUAAUCAGUUUCAAGACAGCUACCAUAAGACGAAUCAAUCUCUUUCUUUCUGUCUCAAUCUCUCCCCGACCCUCAUCUCUCUGUCUUCCCUAAGGCAGGUUAUGAGUUAUUAAAACACAUCCUGUAUAACACUGACCAUCUGCACAACCAAAGAUCUCAAUAUGAAGAUGUUAGGUCAUUAAAUGGAGAAAGUAUUUCUGGAGAGGGGAGAUCUUCGAUGUUCACAAUAUACCUAAAAUUAUGAAAUGUACAUACAGGUCUAUGCCAGUUGCCCAUAGGACCAGUGUUGAUAGCAUGCAUUCACUUCCUAGAUUUAAAUAUAAUUUUCUUCAUGUUUCAACUUAAUAUAGAGUAAGUCAGUACAAGAGAAUUUUGAUUCAGUACAACCAAAUAAGCAGAUCUUUAUAAUUUAUACUGGUUUAUUAAGAUGGUCCCUAUAAUUGAAGUGAGGAUUAUCACUGACCCUAGGAUAGUGCAUAUUCACUAUUCACAACAUAAAAUCAGAAAGAGCAAUUCAAUUAAUCUUCAGGUUUAUAGACCAAAUCUUAGCUAAAAAUUUUAAGAAUAUCUUAGAAGCAUUUUAUUUGAUGGGAUAAAAGGCAAAACUUGGGACUUAUUCAUAGUGUCAGCACAUUUCAUCAGCAAGGGUUUUCAAAUUAGAACUGCAAUUUGGGUUACUUUUGAGGGUGUGACAGUAUUCUACAAAGGAAAAACUGAAUCCCAGAGGGAAAAUAAAAUUAUAGUUUUGAAAACUCAUUACCAAUAAUUAAUAGUGAACUCUAGCUAAACAAUACAGGUGUUCCACUAAUCCCAAACAGAAACAGAUGGAAGCACAAAUGUUUUAUAAAUAGUGGAUACAUGCAGAGCAAUAAACUUGGCAAGAAUUGUCUUAUUCUUUAAUUGUCAGUCAGAGUCAAUGUCUCGCCACUUACAUUUUCUCUAAAUUAAUAUGCCCAGAUUAAAUCUGUGUUUCUCAUUCCUUAUUUUUGAAAAUGCAAGCCAUAUUUAAUGCUUUCUCACUCCAUGUUUUGUAUUGCCACACUGACAAAGAUAAUAUUCCUGAAUUUUGUUUAGGUACAUUUACAUAACAUCAUAUAGUUUAUUAAAUGAAACAACAGGCAUAUUACAUAGGCUUCCCUUCUCUCCCUUCUUCCUUUUCAACUCCUGGACAAGAAAUAACUCGCUUUUCAAGUAUUUCUUUCAUUUCUUAAACCUUCAAAAUAAUGAAUGUAGGUAGAUGAAAUAAAUUAAGAAUUCAAUUAGUAAGUCAAUUAAUGGUACAAAGAAAUCUAAUCCUAUAGAACUAGGAAUUAUCUUGAGGGGUUGCAAUACUCUAUAAUGUUGUAGGUCUGAACUUAGGACUUUUUAGAGUAUGUUUGCAUAUGCCUCUAGAAGGGCUUUCUCUGUGUGGUCGUUAACAAAAUCAUCUUUAAUUCAUGCACAGAUGAUUUUAUUAUUUCUUCUAACCUUACCCUGUUGUUAGAUUUUCAGAAAGAAAUGAUUGGUAUUGCGACUAUUAAACUACUAGCAUCCCUCACUGAAUUUCUUAGUGCAUGGUUCUCUGUGUCUUGAGACUUUCUUAGGAAUUAUAUUUUAUGAUCAACAAAUAACUACUAUGAAUGAUUUCAGUGGGACGGAAAACAGAUUAUUUUCUUCAAGUAAAGAAAUUUUAAAACUAAUAGAAUAUGAAGAAAAUAAUGCAUGUUAGUCAUUUAUUAAUUCAUGCUCAUCAACAACAUAGAUUCAUCUCAUCUCAUAUGUAAGUAAACACCUAGUUGACUCUAUAAAAAUUAUGUGUAGAGUAUGAAUUUCUUGAACCAACACAGGUGAACAAAAUGGUUAGCACACCUUUGACCUAAAAUUGAACUUUUUGUUUUUUUGAGAUGGAGUCUUGCUCUGUGGCCCAGGCUGGAGUACUGUGGCGAGAUCUCGGCUCACUGCAAAUUCUUUCUCCCAGGUUCAAGCAAUUCUCCUGCCUCAGCCUCCCAAGUGGCUGGGAUUACAGGCACCCACCACCAAACCUGGCUAAUUUUUGUAUUUUUAGUAGAGACAGGGUUUCACCAUGUUGGCCAGGCUGGUCUCAAACUCCUGACCUCAGGUGAUCUGCCCGCCUCAGCCUCCCAAAAUGCUUGCAUUAUAGGCAAGACCCACCGGGCCCGGCCAAAUCGAACUUUUUAAUUAUUUAUUUAUUUUGAGACAGGGUCUCACCCUGUAGCCCAGAAUGGAAUGUGAGCCAUCAUAGCUCACACACCCCUGCAGCCCCAACCUCCUGGGCCCAAGCAAUCCUCCCACCUCACCCUACCAAGUAGCUGGGACAAUGGGUGCAUACCACCAUGCCCAGAUAAUUUUUAUAAUUUUUUUUUGCCAGUUGCAGUGGCUCAUGCCUGUAAUCCCAGCACCUUGGGAGGCCGAGUCAGGCAGAUAACCUAAGGUCAGGAGUUUGUGACCAGCCUGGCUAACAUGGUGAAACCCCAUGUCUACUAAAAAUACAAAACUUAGCCGAGUAUGUUGGCAGGGGCCUGUAAUCCCAGCUACUCAGGAGGCUGAGGCAGGAGAAUCGCUUGAACCCCGGAGGCAGAGGUUGCAGUGUGCCGAGAUCACACCAUUGCACUCCAGCCUGAGUGACGAGAGUGAGUCUCUGUCUCAAAAAAAAAAAAAAAAUUUGUACAGAUGCGGUCUCCAUAUGUUGCCCAGGCUGGUCUCAAACUCCUGGGCUGAAGUGAUCCUCCUGCCUCAGCUUCCUAAAGUGCUGUGAUGACAGGUAUAAGCCACCACACCCAGCCCUAACAUUGAAUUUUUGAUAUAUAUAGACUGAAACUUGUAAGUAUUGAGAGGUUCUCUUCAUGUAGGGAACUCACCAGGCAGGUAGUGGUGAAAUGAACAAAUUAAAGUUAUAACAUUUUGUUUGUAGUCACUAGAUGAUUUGUCAACAAUGCAAGGUUGUGACUGUGAUCUUUAUUUUAAAUGUAAGAACACUAAAAAUGAGGUAGAGUUCAAUUAUUUGCUCAAGACCUAAUACUAGAAAAGGAUGGAGUUAAGAAUUAUCACCGUAUUUCUGUCCAAAGCCUUGUCUUUCCACCAUAUCACACUACCUUCCUGAAGGUUUAUUUCCAAUUAUGCUAUGUUACUAUACACAAACAUCGAUAGUAAUUAGUUUCACCUAUUAAGUUAUAAUAUUUAGCGAUUUUCCCCCUCAUUUAAAUUUCUUACUGAAAAUGUAGAAGGAAAAGGGGAGGAGGAGGAAAUUAUUUAACUAGAAUAAAUUACUGGGAUCAACAACAUUUUCUGGAGUGCAAAGGUUCUCAUUGGUCUAGUUUUCUAGAGCCUAGAUGUGUUACCUAUUUGUUUUAGAAAUGACAUGUCUCUUUGAUGACAUACACAUAAAUUAUAAUUAUAUAUUUUUGAAAGGCU
Gorilla gorilla gorilla (western lowland gorilla) is the source of this 7122-nucleotide long non-coding RNA. RefSeq lists it as uncharacterized. The transcript has 3 exons. The record is from RefSeq and is a predicted model, not a curated record. Lineage: Eukaryota; Metazoa; Chordata; Mammalia; Primates; Hominidae.